GGGCGCGUGGUGAAAUUGGCAUACACGCAGGAUUUAGGUUCCUGUGCCGCGAGGCGUGAGGGUUCGACUCCCUCCGCGCCCACCA
This 85-nucleotide transfer RNA is filed under the name Lentisphaerota bacterium. Its description in RNAcentral is "Lentisphaerae bacterium (anaerobic digester metagenome) tRNA-Leu". It matches the Rfam family "tRNA". Rfam says of the family: Transfer RNA (tRNA) molecules are approximately 80 nucleotides in length. Lineage: Bacteria; Pseudomonadati; Lentisphaerota. RNAcentral also lists the same sequence under 1 other name. The record is from RNAcentral.